This 338-nucleotide unclassified non-coding RNA is filed under the name soil metagenome. RNAcentral describes it as "partial contains 5.8S ribosomal RNA, internal transcribed spacer 2, and large subunit ribosomal RNA". The stretch from base 1 to 120 matches the Rfam family "5.8S ribosomal RNA", at positions 35 to 154 of the family's 154-position model. The record is from RNAcentral.
GAUGAAGAACGUAGCGAAAUGCGAUAAGUAAUGUGAAUUGCAGAAUUCAGUGAAUCAUCGAAUCUUUGAACGCACAUUGCGCCCGCCAGUAUUCUGGCGGGCAUGCCUGUCCGAGCGUCAUUUCAACCAUCAAGCCCCCGGGCUUGUGUUGGGGACCUGCGGCUGCCCGCAGGCCCUGAAAACCAGUGGCGGGCUCGCUGUCACACCGAGCGUAGUAGCAAUCACCUCGCUCAGGGCGUGCUGCGGGUUCCGGCCGUUAAACAGCCUUACAAAACCCAAGGUUGACCUCGGAUCAGGUAGGAAGACCCGCUGAACUUAAGCAUAUCAAUAAGCGAGGA